This 179-nucleotide ribosomal RNA is filed under the name uncultured bacterium. RNAcentral's name for it is "partial 16S ribosomal RNA". It matches the Rfam family "Bacterial small subunit ribosomal RNA", at positions 335 to 526 of the family's 1533-position model. The record is from RNAcentral.
ACUCCUACUGGAGGCAUCAGUGGGGAAUAUUGGGCAAUGGAGGAAACUCUGACCCAGCGACGCCGCGUGCGGGAUGAAGGCCUUCGGGUUGUAAACCGCUUUCAGCAGGGAAGAAGCGAAAGUGACGGUACCUGCAGAAGAAGCACCGGCUAACUAUGUGCCAGCAGCCGCGGUAAUAC